Molecule: ribosomal RNA, 552 nt
Filed under: Capnocytophaga sp. oral taxon 412
Lineage: Bacteria; Pseudomonadati; Bacteroidota; Flavobacteriia; Flavobacteriales; Flavobacteriaceae
Description: bacterial SSU rRNA
Rfam family: Bacterial small subunit ribosomal RNA
Source: RNAcentral
GGGUUGUAAACUGCUUUUGUAAGGGAAGAAUAAAGGCUACGUGUAGUUUGAUGACGGUACCUUACGAAUAAGCAUCGGCUAACUCCGUGCCAGCAGCCGCGGUAAUACGGAAGAUGCGAGCGUUAUCCGGAAUCAUUGGGUUUAAAGGGUCUGUAAGCGGGCUGGUAAGUCAGAAGUGAAAGCGCUUAACUCAACUAAGCAACUGCCUUUGAAACUGUUGGUCUUGAAUGGUUGUGAAGUAGUUGGAAUGUGUAGUGUAGCGGUGAAAUGCUUAGAUAUUACACAGAACACCGAUAGCGAAGGCAUAUUACUAACAAUUAAUUGACGCUGAUGGACGAAAGCGUGGGGAGCGAACAGGAUUAGAUACCCUGGUAGUCCACGCUGUAAACGAUGGAUACUAGCUGUUUGGUUUAAGGAUUGAGUGGCUAAGCGAAGUGAUAAGUAUCCCACCUGGGGAGUACGUUCGCAAGAAUGAAACUCAAAGGAAUUGACGGGGGCCCGCACAAGCGGUGGAGCAUGUGGUUUAAUUCGAUGAUCGCGAGGAACCUUACC